This 492-nucleotide ribosomal RNA is filed under the name uncultured bacterium. RNAcentral's name for it is "partial 16S ribosomal RNA". It matches the Rfam family "Bacterial small subunit ribosomal RNA", at positions 29 to 507 of the family's 1533-position model. The record is from RNAcentral.
AGUGAACGCUGGCGGUAGGCCUAACACAUGCAAGUCGAACGGCAGCACAGUAAGAGCUUGCUCUUACGGGUGGCGAGUGGCGGACGGGUGAGGAAUACAUCGGAAUCUACUUUUUCGUGGGGGAUAACGUAGGGAAACUUACUCUAAUACCGCAUACGACCUACGGGGGAAAGCAGGGGAUCUUCUGACCUUGCGCGAUUGAAUGAGCCGAUGUCGGAUUAGCUAGUUGGCGGGGUAAAGGCCCACCAAGGCGACGAUCCGUAGCUGGUCUGAGAGGAUGAUCAGCCACACUGGAACUGAGACACGGUCAAGACUCCUACGGGAGGCAGCAGUGGGGAAUAUUGGACAAUGGGCGCAAGCCUGAUCCAGCCAUACCGCGUGGGUGAAGAAGGCCUUCGGGUUGUAAAGCCCUUUUGUUGGGAAAGAAAAGCAGCAGGUUAAUACCCCGCUGUUCUGACGGUACCCAAAGAAUAAGCACCGGCUAACUUCGUG